GCGUCAUCGGGGCGCGCGCCUCAGAGAGAGCUGUGGUUGCCGGAAGUUGAGCGGCGCAGCUUUCUUGGGAGGCAACCGCCACUGCACAUUUCCUGUGGGGAUUUGAUCUUAAAAAACAAAAGAUUUAGAUCCAUGUGGACAGAAACUUUUGGCAAGAAAUAAUGGCGGCAGCUACGGGGGAUCCUGGACUCUCUAAACUGCAGUUUGCCCCCUUUAGUAGUGCCUUGGAUGUUGGGUUUUGGCAUGAGUUGACCCAGAAGAAGCUGAACGAGUAUCGGCUGGAUGAAGCUCCCAAGGACAUUAAGGGUUAUUACUACAAUGGUGACUCUGCUGGGCUGCCAGCUCGCUUAACAUUGGAGUUCAGUGCUUUUGACAUCGUUCCCUGUGGGCAUGUGAAGCUGUGUGCGAAGUAGAUUCCUCCAGGUAUGAUGAGCACAGGUGCUCUUCCAGAGGAUUUAUUCCGUUCUGACCACCUGCCUGCCUGUUGGCCAAGUGUAAAUAACUGGUGCAACACAGCCCCAGCACUUUCCUGAGUCAUCA
RNAcentral lists this small RNA (540 nucleotides) under Pan troglodytes (chimpanzee). RNAcentral's name for it is "processed transcript". The record is from RNAcentral. Lineage: Eukaryota; Metazoa; Chordata; Mammalia; Primates; Hominidae.